GACGGAAGUUACGGAGAAGUAGGAUACGGUUCUAGCUACGAAAAAGGCGGAUAUGGCGGCAGUUUGGGUGGAUAUGGCGGUAGUAUUGGCGGAUAUGGUGGCAGUAUGGGUGGAUAUGGCUCAAGUUAUGGCGGAUAUGGUGGCAGUAUGGAUGGAUAUGGCGGGUAUUCUGGAUAUGGAAAGGGACAUGGUGGUUAUUCUAGUUACGACAAGAAAACAGUCCACGGAUACGGCAAACAGGGAGGUUUCGUCGAUGAAACAAUCCACCUUCUACAACACCCAGUACCAAUGCCGGUCGCAGGUCCAUAUGCAGGAGGUAUUUCAUACAGUGGUGAUGAUGGCGGUAUACUCAGUGGUAUGUUCGGUGCUAGUGAAACAACAAUGUUCUUUGGAGUUAUCUUAUUGUUUGCUUUACUGAGAAACAACAACAAUGAUUAAAUACCAUAACGACGAUAUAUGUAAUUGAAAUGUCAUAUAUACCAGCAGUGUGUAAAAAGACUGAAGAAAAGACUUGUUUUAAGAUUAGAUAUCAGUGUAAACUGAAAAUCAAAUGAGGCUCGCUACUUCGCGAGUAGAACAAUAAUGGAAAUAUGUCAAAAACUCGAAUGUGAAUUGUCUGGAAUACGAUAAACUACGAUCUUCAAUAACGAUAAUAUAAAUUGUCAUGAAUAUGUCAAACUAAGGUCUUCAAUAAUGCAAAUAUAGUUUUUUCGUGAAUAUGUCAAACUAUUUAUAUGAUUUUCAAUAACAAUUCAUAAAACCGUCAACAAAAUAGAUCGUCGAAAAGUCGACUAGAAAGGGCAACAGGCAAAAAGGUAUCCGCGAAAAUAAGUUGGUUUACAAUAUUGUUGAACUUCUUUAUUUUAUUGAUAUAGAAACAAAAUCCAAACUAUCAACGAAUAAAAAUUGUUUUUUUCUCUAUUUACUUUAUGUUUUAGCGUAAUUCAUAGUAUUCAACACAUAACUAAAAACUCAUGAAAUUGUUUACCUUUGAAACCCUUUUACUUAAUUCCAAGUUAAACUAAUUUUUAUCCUUCUAAGGUAAACAAAAAACUUUUAGAUUGGUUGACGAUAUUAAUUAAGUAAUAUUAGACUUGAAAAAUUGUCACAUUCAUUUAUUUGACAAAUACUUUUUCUCCAAUGACGAAACAGAUUUUGAAUUAUAAUGUCUGAUUUUGUUUUUAAACGUGGCUAUAACUGUGAACAUUAUUGGCGGCCUGAUCAUCUGUAAAUAGCAUUCUUGAGGUAAUCUCAACAAAUUUUAUAGCAAACUUUUCAAUAAU
Molecule: long non-coding RNA, 1283 nt
Organism: Mytilus californianus (California mussel)
Lineage: Eukaryota; Metazoa; Mollusca; Bivalvia; Mytilida; Mytilidae
Exons: 3
Source: RefSeq, a predicted model, not a curated record